Molecule: non-coding RNA, 23 nt
Filed under: Arabidopsis thaliana (thale cress)
Lineage: Eukaryota; Viridiplantae; Streptophyta; Magnoliopsida; Brassicales; Brassicaceae
Source: RNAcentral
AGAGAAUUGCUACGCCACGUCAU